Molecule: unclassified non-coding RNA, 200 nt
Filed under: Tomentella sp.
Lineage: Eukaryota; Fungi; Basidiomycota; Agaricomycetes; Thelephorales; Thelephoraceae
Description: partial internal transcribed spacer 2
Source: RNAcentral
UUAAGUUCAGCGGUAGUCCUACCUGAUUUGAGAUCGAACUUCAGACAGCUGUCUUCGCUGAGGAGAGACAUCUAUAAGCUCCGGCGAACCUCUGCAGACCAGAGGUUUACCUCACAGGCAAUCACAAGCGUAGAUAGUUAUCACACCCAUGAUGCUGCCAGACACCGGCAAGCUAAUUCAUUUGAGGAGAGCUGACCACA